This 301-nucleotide ribosomal RNA is filed under the name uncultured bacterium. Its description in RNAcentral is "partial 16S ribosomal RNA". It matches the Rfam family "Bacterial small subunit ribosomal RNA", at positions 509 to 807 of the family's 1533-position model. The record is from RNAcentral.
CAGUAGCCGCGGGAAUACGGAGGGUGCAAGCGUUGCCCGGAAUUAUUGGGCGUAAAGGGUAGGUAGGUGGUCUUAUUUGUCUGGGGUGAAAGCCUUGAGCUUAACUCAAGAAGUGCCCCAGAAACGGUAAGACUCGAGUCUUGGAGAGGGUCGUGGAAUUCCCGGUGUAGCGGUGAAAUGCGUAGAGAUCGGGAGGAACACCAGAGGCGAAGGCGGCGACCUGGACAAGCACUGACACUCAACUACGAAAGCGUGGGGAGCAAACAGGAUUAGAGACCCCAGUAGUCCCUGUCUCUUAUAC